AAGUACAAAGAAAACUGCUUUUGGCCCCAGCUGACUGAAAAAAAAAAAUUUAUAUAUAUAUAUGACAGAGGCAAACCAAAGGCAAUACAAGUUACAGGACUUAGAUUACAUUUACAAAGCUUAACUGUCCAGUGAAAUUCAACAGUCUGCCUUUGCGACCCUGGAGCCGGCGUGGUUUGAGGACGCUGAAGAAGCCACAGGCAGCCGGCCUGGACUGGAAUCUCUGAAAAAGAUGCCCCAGGAGACCCCAGAGUGUAAAAGAACAGCCCUCCCAAGAGUGGAAGCAAGGUAAAGAAGCGCUACCCAAAGACCCUAGCAGCCCUGCCACUCCUUGAAACCAGGAGACUGGAUCUAUGUAAAGGUCCAUCAGCGACAGACUGCCCUGGCUCCACACUGGAAGGGCCCUUUCCAAGUCCUGUUAACCACCAACACUGCUGUGAAGUGCCAAGGACUACCUGCCUGAUUUAUUUAAAUAUUGUUUGAAAAAAAAAUUUUUAAGGUUCAGGAUAUCCCAUAUAAGCAAACAAUUGAGUGGAAAAAGACUGGUCAGAGGAGAGAAAAGUAUGAUAUCACUACAAAUGAACCCCAAGAAUCUGUAAUUUAAAUUGAUUGGUUCUAUAGUGAAAUAGAUAUGAUGGCUGUCCCUGGAGUUUGCAAUGUGUUAGAUGAAAGAGGCCCUUAUUGUUAUUUGGUCACCCAAUUAGUGAAUAAUUAAACGAAUACUCAAAGAGUUUGUUCUGCCACAGGAAAUUUUACCUGUAUUAAAAUUAUUCCAGUGACAGAUAAUGUAACCUGUACUCUAUUGCAAUAUACCCCCCCCCCAUUCCAUUAAUAUUAAUGCCUCCCGGAAGUAUAUAAAGGGUGUACAACCAAGUGAAGAUCACUGAGGCUAGGAAGGUAUUGCAAUGGGAUUUGGCAUGUUCAGAAUUCAAGAUUUCCUGAAUGACCAGCUAUAACAAGGUUGGGACUCACCACCACAGCACCUCCCACUGGUUACUUCAGGAAUUAGCUCAGUCCAGUGGAGCAUCCUCUCUCAGUAGUAUCCCGCCCAUUGUCUUGCUCUCAGUUGGCUUCUGAGCCCAUAUCACUCACCAACUCACAGCGUCCUCUUCAGGACCACUGCCCCUCAGUCCAUCCACACCCCUUUCCAGGGGCAGGGGGAAGUGAGUUAAUCAGCAGUCUCUCUAUACCCCAGCCACCAUGUACAACCACACACCCCAAAGUCUAAUCCCUCUUGUCAGGGAUCUGGCAUAGUCUAUGAUGGCCGCUCCCUACAGCCAAUGGCUGGGUGUACUGCAAGGGGGGGGACCCAAGCCCACCCUCUACUCUGGGUCCCAGCUCAGGGACCCUCUGGCAGCAGUCUUACUGUCCUCUUUCUCUCCCCUCAUCUGGCCGCUUCCCUGGGCCGCUUCCCCUACAGCCCCUUGCACCCGCUAGGCCCUUCUAUUCAGGGCUGGCAGGUAUCAGGCUGAAGCUCCACUCUGCUUCCCUGAGCCUGCGCUGCGCUGUCCUGGGUGCUGGUCUCCUGCUCAGGAGACAGACCUUCCCCUGUCAAAGGCCUGGAACAGACUGACUCUCUGCUCCCUGAGCAGCCUUCUUAUAGGGCUGAGCCGGGCACUGAUUGGCUGCCUCCAAUCUGGGCCCUGAUUGGCUCUCAAUAAGCUCUUCUCCCAUUGGCUGUGCAUCUGUGCAGGCCCACUGGCCUGCAGCAGCCCAUACUCUCAGGUGUGGGGCAGCCGCCCCACUACACCAGCUGAUGGCCAUUCGGAGUGAUCUCGAGCAUGAGGCAUAGCCUACCGCCCUUACAGAUACCUCAGGAAUGCCAUCUGAUUUGUGGCCAUGGAAACAUACUUGGAGAUUUUCAGGAUGGAGUUGUAUAUACUCACAGUACUCCUCCCAAGCAUAUGGGCCGGUAGGAGGGCUGUGGGCUCCCACAUACCGAACCCUGCCGGGUCUAUGGGGAGGAAGCAUGUGGGACUGGAUUAUUCACCGUGAUAUCUGGGAGAUUAGACCACCUGGUAUACCAAGCCGAUUUGUUGCUAGUGCUCCUGGAAUAACACCCGACAUUUGGAUGGGGAUAGGGAGUCAAUGGACAUUUUGGCUGUUAGAACCCCCACAGCUUCAGUUUAUACGUAAACUGAAGCCAGGAGAAGUUGUCACUGUUCAUCGCUACGUUUGCUGGGAGGGUAUGGGACAAGGAACUACCCUGACAGGACACCCACUUUUUCAAGCUAAUGAUAGCUGUGUGUAUGUUAAAACCACCAUGUUGCGAGAUAUACAUAUUAAUCAAGAAUCUCUGAAUUACAAGGGCAAAUUCAUAUGCUUUAAAAUAUAUAUCAAGUUGAAAAGAAUGCCUUUCAUACAGCUUAUAGAGUGUUACUUUAUGUACUAAGUAUGAUGUAUUGUGCUUUGUGACUAAAACUGUACAACAACCCCAUCAUAUUAUUACUGUGGGAAUGUUACUGCUUUUAUUGUUAUUUGGUUUAGGAUUAUAUUAUUGUUGUUGUAAAGGAAGUGAUAAUAGUAACACCUUUCAUGCCCAUGCUAAUGAUGCAUUGUCAUUGCAUCCAAUCAAAACCCCUAAGGUUGAAGCAUUUGAUGUAGAAUCUGAAAUCCAAGGCUUAAUGCAAAUGGAGGUUUAAGGAUAUUAGUUGUACUAGAAGUACAAAAGGUGUGUGUGUGGAAGUAGAGCAAGAACUGACAGGGAUUUGAUGGGGAUUUCAAUGCAAACAGUCUCUUCUGUGAGCAAGAGUCAGGCUAGCUGUAACCCUAAUAACGCGAGAUUUGUAGAAGCGAGGAUUGUGUGAGGCGAAUGGGAAAGAACUGUGUGAGAAGUUGUUGCGACCUUGUGUAGAUAAAUAUGGAAUGUAGACUAGCGUCUAAAUAGAUGUGAAAAAUAAGAUAUCAGGAUGACCUAUGUAUAAACAAAAUGCAGCUGUUGCUCAUUAUUGUAUGUAACAAAAGGUAUAAACAGGGCCGGCUCCAGGCACCAGCGCAGCAAGCAGGUGCUUGGGGCGGCCAACAGAAAGGGGCGGCACGUCCGGCUCUUCGGUGGCAAUUCUGCAGAAGAACGAAGUGGUGCGGUGGAGCCACCAAAGUGGCGCCGAUCAGUGUUUCUGCCACCCCGCCCUCCCUCCGGCCGCUUGGGGCGGCAGAAACACUGGAGCCGGCCCUGGGUAUAAAUGCUUGCUGUGAUUGUUUACCUGUAGAGAGACUUGUUUAGCUCUCUCCCUCUAUGCAAUUGCUUGAGAGUAAAGUAUCUGACUUUGCUGCACCCAACCAAAGGAGUGAGAACUCUGUUUUUCUCCGACACUAGCUAGCAAGGCUAAAAAAAAGGCAACCAAAAAAGCAAAAGAAACAACAACAAAAGACAAGAACAUGCAAAGCACCUUAUUUGUUUCUAUUCUGUUUAGGUCCAGUAAAGAAUAGAAACAACUGUACAUUAUUUUUAUUAUUGAGUCUGCAAAAAAACCAAACCUCUACAUAAAUAAAUGACAAUGAUUUGGA
This is a long non-coding RNA of Malaclemys terrapin pileata, 3507 nucleotides long. RefSeq lists it as uncharacterized. Lineage: Eukaryota; Metazoa; Chordata; Testudines; Emydidae. The record is from RefSeq and is a predicted model, not a curated record. The transcript has 2 exons.